UGAGUAACCUGCCCUUCACUCUGGGAUAACCCCGGGAAACCGGAGCUAAUACCGGAUACUCCGGCUGGAUCGCAUGGUCCGGCCGGGGAAAGGUCCGCCGGAGAGGGAUGGGCCCGCGGCCUAUCAGCUUGUUGGUGGGGUUAAGGCCUACCAAGGCGACGACGUGUAGCCGGCCUGAGAGGGUGACCGGCCACACUGGGACUGAGAUACGGCCCAGACUCCUACGGGAGGCA
Molecule: ribosomal RNA, 233 nt
Filed under: uncultured bacterium
Lineage: Bacteria
Description: partial 16S ribosomal RNA
Rfam family: Bacterial small subunit ribosomal RNA
Source: RNAcentral